RNAcentral lists this long non-coding RNA (2100 nucleotides) under Homo sapiens (human). Its description in RNAcentral is "HSALNT0107613". The record is from RNAcentral. Lineage: Eukaryota; Metazoa; Chordata; Mammalia; Primates; Hominidae.
UAGAGAGGCAGUAGGCCUUGCUGAGCUGCAGUGGGCUCCACCCAGUUCAAGCUUCCCAGGCUCUUUGUUUACGCUGUGAGCACCAAACCGCCUAUUCAAGCCUCAGCAAUGGCAGACACCCCCUCCCCACGCCAAGCUGCAGUGUCGCAGGUUGAUCACAGACUGCUGCGCUAACAGUGAACAAGGCUCCGUGGGAGUGGGACCUGGCGAGCCAGGCAUGGAAGGGAAUUUCCUGGUCUGCCAGUUGUGAAGACCAUGGGAAAAGCACAGUAUUUGAGCAGGAGUGUACCAAUUCUCCAGGUAUAGACUGUCACAGCUUCCCUUGACUAGGAACGGGAAAUCCCUGGCCUCUUGUGCUUCCUGGGUGAGGCGACACCCUGCCCUGCUUCAGCUCACCCUCCGUGGGCUGCACCCACCAUCCAACCAGUCCCAAUGAGAUGAACCACGUACUUCAGUUGGAAAUGCAGAAAUCACCCGUCUUCUGUGUCAAUCUUGCUGGGAGCUGCAGACCAGAUCUGUUCCUAUUUAGCCAUCUUGGAAGAAUCUUGGAAUAUCUUUUUUUUUUUUUCAUUUUACUUUAAGUUCUGGGAUACAUGUGCUGAACAUGCAGCUUUGUUACACAGGUAUACAGGUGCCAUGGUGUUUUCCUGCACCUAUCAACCCGUCACAUAAGUUUUAAGCUCCACAUGCAUCAGGAGGUCACAAAAUGUUAUACAGUAAAGUAAUUGGAGCACCACCUGGUGGGCAUUCUGGCUACAUUCCUGACUUGAAGGGAACAAAAUGUGGUUUUUUGAGACCAAGGAGGAAUAUGACUAGGAAGACAUGUCUCCUCCCUUCCGCUGGAGACUGAAGUAACAACUACGUAACUCAUAGAACCUUCCAACCACCUAAUACUUUAGGAAUGUGCUUGGAGCUCUUCUAAAUCCAUCUCACUUGAACUGCAAAGCCAGAAACAACAGCCAUUAUUCCUCUGAAGCCUGCAAAAUGCUGAGUAGAUUAAAAGGAUUAUGUUUCUGUUCUCAUAUGCUCAAUGCCCAUAGCUCAACAACCUUACUUUUACAAGAACCCAGCAACAAUGAUUUCAUUUUGAAUGAAUCCACGAUCUUCUCUGCAACAUAGUUAAAUGUAACCAGGCCAGGACGGUGGCUCACCCUUGUAAUCCCAGCACUUUGGGAGGCCAAGGCGGGAGGGUCAUUUGAGGCCAGGUUUUCGAGACCAGCAUGUGCCACCAUGCCUAGCUAAUUUUAAAAUUUUUUUGUAGAGAUGGGGUGUCGCAAUGUUGCCCAGGCUGGUCUUUAACUCCUGGCCUCAAGUGAUCCUCCCGCCUCCGCCUCCCAAAGUGCUGGAAUUACAAGUGUGAGCCACCGUGCAUGUCAACCAUUCUUAUUUAUUCUGCUUUUUAUUUUCCUGGCUUCUCUUCAGCACUCUCAACCAUUCUUUAUAGCAAUGCUCCCCAAAUUUUUUCAUGUGGUAUUGCUCGUAGAAAGUGAUAAUAUUAGUACAGUGCUGGACUAAAUGGAUGAGGUUGCUCAAAGGUUUUAUGCAGCCUCUCAAAGAGAUGCCACUGGGAUUGAGCUCACUUGCCCAAGACAGUAACCCGCUUCUCAAUGUAUCCUUUAAUGGUGUUCCUCUUUUGCCAGUCUUACUUGCCCACUCCCUGAUCAUGCCUCCUGGGAUCACCUCCCAAGUAAACUACUUUCACCCAAAUUCUUGUCCCAUCACAGUAGAUAAUGAAUACCAAAAAAAUGGCAAAAUGACAAUAAAACUAAUAUCCAAGCAAAGUGGACCUUUGUGCAUCAAGCUUUGCUCUAAAACAUGUAUCAACCUAUUAGGUAAAGCAAUGCAUUGAUUAAUUAAUGAAGGUAAUUACUUAAAUUCUGUGCUUCACUUUGCAUGUGGAGGCACUGCAUGCAUUUUAAGAACAUUUUUAGACUUAUAUCAAGACAUUUGUCUUUCAUACCUAAAGAACUAAGCUACAAAAGGUUUAAUGACUUCCCACGUCACAUCUUUAACAGUAAAAGUCAAAAUAGUUAAAAUUCAUUGAGCAUUCACUAUAUGCUGGAUUCUGUGUGAAGUACUUUUCAUCAUUCCACUAAUCAU